GAUGAAGAACGCAGCGAAAUGCGAUAAGUAAUGUGAAUUGCAGAAUUCAGUGAAUCAUCGAAUCUUUGAACGCACCUUGCACCCUUUGGUAUUCCGAAGGGUAUGCUCGUUUGAGUGUCAUUGUACUCUCACACUUCUAAUUCCUUUCGGGAUUGGGAGCGGUGGACUUGGGUGUUGCUGCUUUAGUUGUGGCUCACCUCAUAUAAGUUAGUGCAACUCUUGGUUGGACAUAGUACGGCGUGAUAAGUGUCUUCGCCGGCGCCUCUGUAAGGAGGGUGGCCGAUCGGGAGCUCUGUGCUUCAAACCGUCUUCGGACAAUCUUUGACAACUUGACCUCAAAUCGAGUAGGACUACCCGCUGAACUUAAGCAUAUCAAUAAGCGGAGGA
This 387-nucleotide unclassified non-coding RNA is filed under the name soil metagenome. RNAcentral's name for it is "partial contains 5.8S ribosomal RNA, internal transcribed spacer 2, and large subunit ribosomal RNA". The stretch from base 1 to 120 matches the Rfam family "5.8S ribosomal RNA", at positions 35 to 154 of the family's 154-position model. The record is from RNAcentral.